Molecule: long non-coding RNA, 492 nt
Organism: Folsomia candida
Lineage: Eukaryota; Metazoa; Arthropoda; Collembola; Entomobryomorpha; Isotomidae
Exons: 2
Source: RefSeq, a predicted model, not a curated record
AUCUCAGAGAGAACUCGGAAUCUCAUAAUUCAAAUUUAUCUGCUCCUGCUCCUAAAUAAAUUAAAACUUUUAGUAGUUUUGCUCUAAGAAUAAUAGUUCGGGAUGAUUGGGCAGUCCGUUCGUCGUGCGAUGUUGAAGGGGCAGGGGGCUGGGCUGAAGAUGUCGGUGAGGACAAUCUACCCCCAAAUCUCGAGCAACGUCGUCAGUGGGAUGCCACGGACUCGAAUUCCUUUUCCCGAGAAAGUGGGAUGCGGAUUGUUCAUUGCGAUGUGCGUUUUGGCCACACCUGCCUGGAUUACGACUCACAUGGACGAUUACCGAGGAGGACCUGUGGGUCAAGCUUAAACCGUUUCGCGUAUAGUCAUUAGUCAAUAAAAUCUGUGAGAAUAAUACCGUAAAACAAUUUCAAUUUACAAUUUAUUAGCGGAAAUCAAAAUGUUAUAUAGACUAUUCAGUCCGUAGUUUGUGAAUAAACAAAAAAGUUAAUUUCGA